AUACGGAGGGUGCAAGCGUUAAUCGGAAUUACUGGGCGUAAAGCGUGCGUAGGCGGUUUGUUAAGUCAGAUGUGAAAGCCCCGGGCUUAACCUGGGAACUGCAUUUGAUACUGGCAAACUAGAAUGUGGUAGAGGGAAGUGGAAUUCCUCAUGUAGCGGUGAAAUGCGUAGAUAUGAGGAGGAACACCAGUGGCGAAGGCGACUUCCUGGACCAACAUUGACGCUGAGGUACGAAAGCGUGGGGAGCAAACAGGAUUAGAAACCCCGGUAGUCC
This 274-nucleotide ribosomal RNA is filed under the name uncultured bacterium. Its description in RNAcentral is "partial 16S ribosomal RNA". It matches the Rfam family "Bacterial small subunit ribosomal RNA", at positions 523 to 796 of the family's 1533-position model. The record is from RNAcentral.